UAUAUGAGAUGCACGUACAGCGCCUAUUAGUUGCUCAGGCAAUUCAUCCGGGGUGUUUCCCUAACAUAAAUUAGCGAAUUAGAUCAUCAGAUUCAGCAUAUAUAAUAGACACAACCUCACAGAGAGGAUUACAACAAAGAUUGGUCAAGCACUGGCAACUUCAAAUUCGGGAAUAGAAGCAGAAAUUUCAAUGCAGAGAGCCAAUAAACUUUCUGAUGAAAAGAACUGCACAAGAAUCUCAACAGAGAACAUCCUCUUGAAAGAAGAGUCGAAUAUGUUUCAUUACGAGAUAGUGUCCCUGAUCUCUCAAGUAAAAUCUGUGUUACAUCUUUACUCAUUAGCUCUUCGAGUUAUUUCACUUAUUCAUUCUCAAAAAAAUAAGUUGAUUUAUGCUGUUCUGUUGUCAUCCUUUACCCAUAAAUCAUCGCAUGAACCUGAGUACAAUUAUCUAUCUCAGCUGACCAGCUCUUCGGCCAAGUUAUGAGUUUUUUAAACACAAGACGUGUACUUGCUUCUAUUACUGAUAAAAGAUUUUUUCUGAAGAGAUGUGUUUAAAGUCAAACCAUCAAAUUUGUCCCAGGAUCGUAUAGAAUCAUAACUAGUUAAAAGCAUCUGUAUGGUUGUAUUCGCCGUAGUAUCAGAAACAUCAUCAAUGAACAUCUACUACCGGAAGUUAUUCAGAAAGUCAAUAGAAAUAAAGGUACCUUCGGCACAGAUGGGAUGAGCUUCAUUCUACUAUUACGGAACUCAUCAUCCCCAUCAACAAACCGUUGC
This is a long non-coding RNA of Capsicum annuum, 774 nucleotides long. RefSeq lists it as uncharacterized. The record is from RefSeq and is a predicted model, not a curated record. Lineage: Eukaryota; Viridiplantae; Streptophyta; Magnoliopsida; Solanales; Solanaceae. The transcript is spliced from 2 exons.